Molecule: long non-coding RNA, 1412 nt
Filed under: Ornithorhynchus anatinus (platypus)
Lineage: Eukaryota; Metazoa; Chordata; Mammalia; Monotremata; Ornithorhynchidae
Description: lncRNA (ENSOANG00000041682.1)
Source: RNAcentral
CCUGGAAGUGCUGGGAAUCAGAAGCUCCCGAUUGGGGAUUGUGCAAAGCGCUGGCCCUCUGCCAAGGAAAAUAUUUUGGGAUGUCAUCGAUAAAUGGCACAUACACAUCCUCUCGGCCCUGUGGCGGGGGAAGGGAGCCAAGUCCAGCCUCUUGGCCCUGUUCAUCUCCCCUGUGGUUUCGUGUUGCCCCUGGCCUGCCCUGACUGGGCUGCUCUGAUCCGUCGGGUAGGUGCCUGGCACGGGGCUCUGCAAGUGCCCAGCCAGAUGUGGCCGUAUCCGGGCGCUGGGGAAGAGAGUCCCGGGCAUUAGGUAGCUUACCCGGGGCUCUUAGGGGGCAGUGCCCUCUCACUUGGGCCAAGUGUCCAGAUCGUGGAGUAAGAGCCGUAAAACCAGAAGUGCCACAAUCCAUGGAAAGCCAGACACCGCAUUGUUUCAGUGAAACCACCAAGUCUAUCUGAAAGGUAGGAAUGAACGAAGAAGGAAGACACUGGAGAAAAAUCCAAGGGCGUUCAGGGAAACAAACUCUCUCCACAGAGAUAAUUGGUAAGAACAGAUAAACAACUGGACAUCAUGGGCACCAUUUUGGCUCCAGCGAAUCUCUCUUUCUCUCUCUCUCUCUCUCUCUCCUGUCAAAGUUUAGCUUGUUUUUACCGUUGAUUGGAAGUGGUGAAGGUUUCUGAUACGAACGCAGUGGCUAGGAGCAGCAGUGCUGUCUGUGGCAGACGGACGCUUUCGAUUUUAAUCAUGAGUGGCGGAAGGAAGCGGCCGGGGCUGGAGAAUCGAGCUGGAGAAAAAGUGACAGGGAAAGGACUGUCGUGAUAGAAUUGAUGUCAGAGAUCUCCUGUGGCAUCAUCAACACCUUUCCUGAGAGAAUGGUGAGAUAUCAGUCUGGUCAACCCUUCGAGAUCAUAAUGGAAUGGACAAUUUAUGACUCGCAAUUUACAGACCAAGAUCCCUAUGGAAAACCGGUAGAAGCAGCAUGGCUUAAUGGAUCAAGUACGGGACUGGGAGUCAGAAGAAACUGGGUUCUAAUCCCAGAUCUCCUACUUUUCUUUUGUUGUGACCUUGGGUAAGUCACUUCACUUCUUUGGGCCUCACUUGCCUCAUCUGUAAAAUGGGGAUUAAGACUGUGAGCCUCAUGUGAGAUAGGGACUGAGACCAACCUGAUUAGCUUGUUAUCUAUCCCAGUGCUUAGUACAGUGCUUGGCACAUAGUAAAUAUCAUUUUAAAAAAAGGGGGGUGCCAAAAAGGGACCUGGAAGGAGGGUGGCCUGAACUGGGUGUCAGUUUGAUGGACAUUGGUCUGAAGUACAGCCAUAGUGAAUUGUCAGCCCCGAGCGAGGUGGCCAUUGGGGAGCUUUCAGAACGGGACACAGACAUUCCUGCUGAAGUGACAUCUUGGAAGGAAGGGGA